AGUGAACGCUGGCGGCAGGCCUAACACAUGCAAGUCGAACGGCAGCACAGUAAGAGCUUGCUCUUACGGGUGGCGAGUGGCGGACGGGUGAGGAAUACAUAGGAAUCUACUUUUUCGUGGGGGAUAACGUAGGGAAACUUACGCUAAUACCGCAUACGACCUACGGGAGAAAUCAGAGGAUAUUGGGAGCUUGCGCGAUUGAAUGAGCCGGUGUCGGAUUAGCUAGUUGGCGAGGUAAAGGCCCACCAAGGCGACGAUGCGUAGCUGGUCUGAGAGGAUGAUCAGCCACACUGGAACUGAGACACGGUCCAGACUCCUACGGGAGGCAGCAGUGGGGAAUAUUGGACAAUGGGCGCAAGCCUGAUGCAGCCAUACCGCGUGGGUGAAGAAGGCCUUCGGGUUGUAAAGCCCUUUUGUUGGGAAAGAAAAGCAGCAGAUGAAUACCCCGCUGUUCUGACGGUACCCAAAGAAUAAGCACCGGCUAACUUCGUG
RNAcentral lists this ribosomal RNA (492 nucleotides) under uncultured bacterium. Its description in RNAcentral is "partial 16S ribosomal RNA". It matches the Rfam family "Bacterial small subunit ribosomal RNA", at positions 29 to 507 of the family's 1533-position model. The record is from RNAcentral.